Molecule: ribosomal RNA, 1372 nt
Filed under: uncultured bacterium
Lineage: Bacteria
Description: bacterial SSU rRNA
Rfam family: Bacterial small subunit ribosomal RNA
Source: RNAcentral
GAUGAACGCUGGCGGCGUGCCUAAUACAUGCAAGUCGAGCGAACAGACGAGGAGCUUGCUCCUUUGACGUUAGCGGCGGACGGGUGAGUAACACGUGGGUAACCUACCUAUAAGACUGGGAUAACUUCGGGAAACCGGAGCUAAUACCGGAUAAUAUUUCGAACCGCAUGGUUCGAUAGUGAAAGAUGGCUUUGCUAUCACUUAUAGAUGGACCUGCGCCGUAUUAGCUAGUUGGUAAGGUAACGGCUUACCAAGGCAACGAUACGUAGCCGACCUGAGAGGGUGAUCGGCCACACUGGAACUGAGACACGGUCCAGACUCCUACGGGAGGCAGCAGUAGGGAAUCUUCCGCAAUGGGCGAAAGCCUGACGGAGCAACGCCGCGUGAGUGAUGAAGGUCUUCGGAUCGUAAAACUCUGUUAUUAGGGAAGAACAAACGUGUAAGUAACUGUGCACGUCUUGACGGUACCUAAUCAGAAAGCCACGGCUAACUACGUGCCAGCAGCCGCGGUAAUACGUAGGUGGCAAGCGUUAUCCGGAAUUAUUGGGCGUAAAGCGCGCGUAGGCGGUUUUUUAAGUCUGAUGUGAAAGCCCACGGCUCAACCGUGGAGGGUCAUUGGAAACUGGAAAACUUGAGUGCAGAAGAGGAAAGUGGAAUUCCAUGUGUAGCGGUGAAAUGCGCAGAGAUAUGGAGGAACACCAGUGGCGAAGGCGACUUUCUGGUCUGUAACUGACGCUGAUGUGCGAAAGCGUGGGGAUCAAACAGGAUUAGAUACCCUGGUAGUCCACGCCGUAAACGAUGAGUGCUAAGUGUUAGGGGGUUUCCGCCCCUUAGUGCUGCAGCUAACGCAUUAAGCACUCCGCCUGGGGAGUACGACCGCAAGGUUGUAACUCAAAGGAAUUGACGGGGACCCGCACAAGCGGUGGAGCAUGUGGUUUAAUUCGAAGCAACGCGAAGAACCUUACCAAAUCUUGACAUCCUUUGACCCUUCUAGAGAUAGAAGUUUCCCCUUCGGGGGACAAAGUGACAGGUGGUGCAUGGUUGUCGUCAGCUCGUGUCGUGAGAUGUUGGGUUAAGUCCCGCAACGAGCGCAACCCUUAAGCUUAGUUGCCAUCAUUAAGUUGGGCACUCUAAGUUGACUGCCGGUGACAAACCGGAGGAAGGUGGGGAUGACGUCAAAUCAUCAUGCCCCUUAUGAUUUGGGCUACACACGUGCUACAAUGGACAAUACAAAGGGCAGCGAAACCGCGAGGUCAAGCAAAUCCCAUAAAGUUGUUCUCAGUUCGGAUUGUAGUCUGCAACUCGACUACAUGAAGCUGGAAUCGCUAGUAAUCGUAGAUCAGCAUGCUACGGUGAAUACGUUCCCGGGUCU